UCAUCUACCACAAUUGGUGAAAAUUAUAUGCCUUGUAUAUCUAAAGCAUCUGAUGCUAAAAUUCUCAAGUCUCAGAUUGGACUUGUGACAUGAUAUUCAUGUUAUUAUUAUUCCCAUUUCACAAGAUGUUAUUAUUAUUAUUAUUAAUAUAUUCCCACUUAUGUGUAACAUGACUAUAAAUAUUAGAGUACAUUGAGGCAACUAGAAACUCAGACCCAAAUUAAAAUAUUUCUUGUGUUGUUCACAAUUAAAAUGGCAUCAAUGAAAGCUGAGAAACCAGUUGGUACUCAACCAUCUACCUCUACAAUCAAGAAACCAUCAACUAAGGCUCCUCCUACUUCCAAAUCCGCCCCGAAAAAGGCUCGCGAACCUAAGAAAAAAGCAUCAGGUAGCAAGGCAGGUGGAAAGAAAUAAGAAGAAGAAGAAGUUGGAGUAAUUAAUUAGAGUAUGAUGAAGAAUAUAUUUGUCGAUGUUUAAAAUUAUGAGUGAUGUACUUUCUUCUCUUAAUGAAAUAAUCUCAUACUCUUUACCUUUAAAA
Solanum lycopersicum (tomato) is the source of this 538-nucleotide long non-coding RNA. RefSeq lists it as uncharacterized. NCBI's taxonomy places the organism in Eukaryota, Viridiplantae, Streptophyta, Magnoliopsida, Solanales, Solanaceae. The record is from RefSeq and is a predicted model, not a curated record.